Molecule: ribosomal RNA, 460 nt
Filed under: uncultured bacterium
Lineage: Bacteria
Description: partial 16S ribosomal RNA
Rfam family: Bacterial small subunit ribosomal RNA
Source: RNAcentral
CCUACGGGUGGCAGCAGUGAGGAAUCUUGCUCAAUGGCGGAAACGCUGAUCCAGCCAAGUCGCGUGGAGGAAGAAGGAUCUAUGGUUUGUAAACUUCUGUUAUAGGGGAGUAAAGGUAUCCACGUGUGGAUAUUUGCAUGUACCCUAUGAAUAAGCAGCGACUAACUCCGUGCCAGCAGCCGCGGUAAUCCGGAGGAUGAGAGCGUUGUCCGGAUUUAUUGGGUGUAAAGGGUGCGUAGGAUGUUUUUUAAGUCAGUGGUGAAAGUUGGUGGCUCAACCAUAAAAUUGCCGUUGAAACUGGAAGACUAGAGUGUGGGUGAGGUAAGCGGAAUGCGUGGUGUAGCGGUGAAAUGCAUAGAUAUCACGCAGAACUCUGAUUGCGAAGGCAGCUUACUAGGCAAUAACUGACACUGAAGCACGAAAGCGAGGGGAGCAAACAGGAUUAGAUACCCCAGUAGUC